This 714-nucleotide long non-coding RNA is filed under the name Cricetulus griseus (Chinese hamster). RNAcentral's name for it is "lncRNA (ENSCGRG00015038909.1)". Lineage: Eukaryota; Metazoa; Chordata; Mammalia; Rodentia; Cricetidae. The record is from RNAcentral.
GGGCUCCCAAAAGAUCUUAUAGGGCAGCGUAAGGGGAGUGUCUAGGGGUACGCACAGGCUUACGCACAGGCUCACGAUUGGUGUGCUUCCAGGCUUGGAGGGCUUGCCCUGUGUUGAUUGGUCAACUGGUUGUUAUGGCCCAUAGGCCCUCCCAGGGUGGUUGCUAUGCUCUCUACGUCAUUGUCGUGCGCUUGUCCGGAAAGCACACCCAGGGUCGUAAAGCAUAGUGCCACCAGCUAACUUCUGAUUGGUUCCUUGUUACAAGACAGGCAUCUGACCUCUAAGUGACCAAGGCAGGUUUAUGGCAAGCACGUGUUCGGCUGUUAUGGCUGCCAAAAGGGAAGCCGGUUCCUUCAUUCCCCCAUUUUCUUUUUUGGAAAUUCCAAUCAUGGAAUUGCUGUCUCUCUAGCAUCCCCAUUAGGGAGUGAUAGAUAUUGGCAUCCCCAUGUAAGGGAGUUCCCUUUGACUUAGCAUUUUAACCCGGGAAAAUGGACGGCGAAAUUCUUUCCAAACUGCUUCCUGCUGACUUUGGGACGAAGUUAGGGACCCCAGAAGGUUGAAAUGCUAGUCAAAAGCAAAAAGGAAUUUAGGCAAUGGGGAAUUUAUCAGGGGCUUCUGGUUAGCACACACUGUUGCAGAGACAGGGGGUGUUAUGGCAAGCACGUGUUCGGCCAUUAUGACUGCCGAAAGGGGAGCUGGUCCCUUCAAUAUUAC